CUGAAAGCCUAUUUGUUCAGCGCUGAAGUUUUCUAAGCGCGUGAACGCUCCAUCACGUGAACUGCGCCUGGACAGGAAAAUGCAGCGCGCUGCUCAGUUGUUCGCGCUCAGGGAUGACGAGAGAAGACUCAGAGACCCUUUUCUUUACUUUCGUGUGCGUUUAUGAAAAGCAAACCACAUACACACUUAUACGAACUUGUAUAUUGGCAUCCUGAUCUUGAAAAUAAAGCUGAUAAAGGAU
Molecule: long non-coding RNA, 241 nt
Organism: Cyprinus carpio (common carp)
Lineage: Eukaryota; Metazoa; Chordata; Actinopteri; Cypriniformes; Cyprinidae
Source: RefSeq, a predicted model, not a curated record